GGACUAAUGGGAGCUUGCUCCCAUUAGUUAGCGGCGGACGGGUGAGUAACACGUGGGCAACCUACCUGUAAGACUGGGAUAACUUCGGGAAACCGGAGCUAAUACCGGAUGACAUAAAGGAACUCCUGUUCCUUUAUUGAAAGAUGGCUUCGGCUAUCACUUACAGAUGGGCCCGCGGCGCAUUAGCUAGUUG
This 193-nucleotide ribosomal RNA is filed under the name uncultured Bacillus sp. RNAcentral's name for it is "partial 16S ribosomal RNA". It matches the Rfam family "Bacterial small subunit ribosomal RNA", at positions 66 to 251 of the family's 1533-position model. Lineage: Bacteria; Bacillati; Bacillota; Bacilli; Caryophanales; Bacillaceae. The record is from RNAcentral.